Long non-coding RNA from Daphnia magna, 309 nucleotides. RefSeq lists it as uncharacterized. Lineage: Eukaryota; Metazoa; Arthropoda; Branchiopoda; Diplostraca; Daphniidae. The transcript has 2 exons. The record is from RefSeq and is a predicted model, not a curated record.
GUUCAGAACAACAGUGUUCGACGAACUGUUUAGCUAGACUGACACUCUCUUUGAGAAGAGAAGCGUCGACUGAGACGAAAACGAAAUAGCCUCAAGCCAUACCGAGGUAAUGGGAGAACGGGAAAAGCGGGAUUCUAUAUCAGACAAGAGGAAAGAUCCCGCAAUCACUUUAAAACACAGAAGAAGUAAAUUCCCGAAGAGGGCGGAUGACAUUUUUUAAAUUCUGAUAAAUACGUACUACUUCAACGCCACCUAACAAUUGUCACGUUGACUAGAAAACAAGAAUAAAAUAACGGGAAGUUUUCUUUA